Long non-coding RNA from Acanthopagrus latus (yellowfin seabream), 2484 nucleotides. RefSeq lists it as uncharacterized. The transcript has 3 exons. The record is from RefSeq and is a predicted model, not a curated record. Lineage: Eukaryota; Metazoa; Chordata; Actinopteri; Spariformes; Sparidae.
AAAAAAAAAAAAAAAAAAAACCUAUUGUGUUUUAUUUAAUGGAAGUAAAUAUAUUGUUCAAAAACACUCACGAUGGGAGACUUUUAUUGAAUCUUUGUGUCGGCGGAGUGUGAAGCACUGACAGUCUGUCCACAGCCGGUUCGAUUAUGUGAGACACUCUGUGCGUCUAAUCUAUAGAGGAAAACAAUGGUGGCCGCUCCAAUACACAUACAGCGGCGAGAUGCUCCGUCAGAUUAACUGCUGAAUACAUGUCUGCCGCUCCGCCGGCAGCGCCUCGGCUGCGGUCACUGGGGCUUGAAAUAACACGGGAAUCAACAAACAGGAGUUGGGACCAAACAACAGAGUCUGAACCCGCAGGAGACCCAGAAAACUGGAUGCUUUAAAAUCCAAUUAAUGCGUUUAACGUGGUUUUAUUUGAUUAGUUUUGUAAAUGCAGUUGCAUAAAUUCAUAUUUAAGUCGUGACGUCCAGAUGAACCAGAACGUGUUUGGUUUGGAGUUUCCGACUCCUCCGUGCGUCUGUUUGCCUUCGCGUUUCUGUUUUCUUUCGUGACUUGCUGUUUUAUUAUCAUCAUUAUUAAGUCAUGCUUUAUAGAGCAGCAGCAGCGCCGUGGAAAAACAAGGCUUCGGUCUGCUGGAGGGGGGGAACUGUGAUGCACAAGCUUGAGCAAACAAGAGCGCUCAGAGUUACACGGAGGUAUGUGGAGCCGAGGCCGGCUGCAGAGGAGAGCAGGCGGGGGGCGAGCGCAGCCUCGUCGGGGAGGAGGCACCGCGGCACUCCGCUGAAUAAAGAGCGCGAGUUUGGGUUGUGGAGGAUGAGCCGUGCGCGCUGUUUCAGCCCAGAAUUGUUGAUCGUGUGAGCCUGUUUGUGUUUGUGCUCAUCACUGGAAAAUUAGGAAAGAAAAAGAAAAAAAAGAGCUGAUUUAGGAUCUGAUGUUACGCAGGACGAGGCCUCGGGUCACGUCUCCAGGGGCUGGUUAUUAUGAAGGGAAAUAAAUCAGAGUUAAACAGCAAACACGAAAAGAAGAAUUCCUCUGUUAAACCCUCUCACUGCUCCUCUCACCGUCUCCCUCCACAAUUAGAUUUCUGUCCAAGAAAAAAAAACCGUGGAGCCUCUUUUUGUGUGUCACCUUUUGAUGGAGCAAUAAUCAGCUGACGGGGGUGGUGGGGAGGGCGGAUAAGCCUCGGCUGCUGUGGAGGCGAAUACGCACGUCUGCAGCCUCAAUACACAUCCGCACAAUCAACAUGUGAGCGGAGGGAAGACCCGAGGAGAAGAGGCUUCACUGGGAAACGUUCAUUUGGCCGAAACGACGCUCAGAGGACCGCAGACCUCUCAGCCCGUCCGCUCCCUGCAGCCCUGCGCACGGCUGCUGCAGGAGAAGAGCUGAGGGAGGAUAAAAAUGCCAUUCAAGAGGAAUUAUUCAGCAUUAAGGCCAGCGACCGAGCUGCAAGAAGCACCUCUGAGCCGGUGUCCUGGCCGCAUGGAUCACAGACAGUGAGUGGCCAGUUUCCACUCCGUCCUGCCAGCAGCAGCUUGUGGUUACCAGUCUGUAACUCACAACAACCAGCGCAUCCAUCGACUCAAAGCUCGGCCCGGUCGUCCCUGUAAGUCACUCUGGUGUUGGCUGACGUGUGAAAUGUUUACGCCUUGUAAAAUAUUUCUUUGGAUUGCUCUCUUAUUAAAACCAGAUGUUGCCUGUUCCAUUUUUCCCUGGUGCAAAUAUGUAGCUGUUUUUAUUUUUUAGGUCAGUUCUGGCAUUAAUUAUUCGUCUCUACCCGAACCCAGCGGGCCAAAGUUCUGCUCAGAUCAGUGUUUCUGUUGAUGAGCAGCUGUUGUACAGAGAGAAGGGAACUGUAAACACGUCUGUAUCUGCAUUGUUUAAGAUUACAGAAUAAAUAUUAAUCAUGUUCUUCAUCUCUCUCGGUGUCAUUGUUGAUUUAUUCGCUUCUGUUUUGCACAAUAUGCACAUUACUUAAGUGAUUUUCCAUUUUGGUGUAAUAUGUGACUGUUUUAUUGCAACGAUGAUGUAUUAUUAUUUAAUUAUGACACAUAAUGAGAUACAGUCUAAAUAUUUUUGACACUCUGAAAUGAGCAUCAUGCAGGAUUCGGGGUGUAAUUAAAAAAUAAUUAUGUCCAUUUAAGAAAAGGAAAAAAAAAACAUUUUGUAAAUAAAGAAAACAAACAAACAAACAAAAAAAAAGGUUUCUAACUAAUUUACUGGAAGACACACUUGUGUUGGGGACUGAUGCAGUUAGAAAAGUUGUUUGACACUCACACACUCACUUGCAGAAAGUUAGCUGAGAACACUGAAACUCUCCUAACUCUGUUAAACACGAAGCUACAGUUAGCGACCAGUUAGCUUAGCACAAUAAAUGGAAACAAGGUAACAGCAAGUGCAGCUCCACCUGAAGCAAACAAAAUCCACCUGUAAGCACAUCAAUAAAUACAUAGAUAAUAAAUAAAUAAAUGGUUCUGAGCCGCAGAC